GACGAACGCUGGCGGCGUGCUUAACACAUGCAAGUCGAACGCUGAAGCUCAGCUUUUGUUGGGUGGAUGAGUGGCGAACGGGUGAGUAACACGUGAGUAACCUGCCCCCUUCUUUGGGAUAACGCCCGGAAACGGGUGCUAAUACUGGAUAUUCACUGGUCUUCGCAUGGGGGUUGGUGGAAAGGGUUUUUCUGGUGGGGGAUGGGCUCGCGGCCUAUCAGCUUGUUGGUGGGGUGAUGGCCUACCAAGGCUUUGACGGGUAGCCGGCCUGAGAGGGUGACCGGUCACAUUGGGACUGAGAUACGGCCCAGACUCCUACGGGAGGCAGCAGUGGGGAAUAAUGCACAAUGGGCGCAAGCCUGAUGCAGCGACGCUGCGUGAGGGAUGGAGGCCUUCGGGUUGUGAACCUCUUUCGCUCAUGGUCAAGCCGCAACAAUGGUUGUGGUGAGGGUAGUGGGUAAAGAAGCGCCGGCUAACUACGUG
This 483-nucleotide ribosomal RNA is filed under the name uncultured bacterium. RNAcentral's name for it is "partial 16S ribosomal RNA". It matches the Rfam family "Bacterial small subunit ribosomal RNA", at positions 28 to 507 of the family's 1533-position model. The record is from RNAcentral.